UAGGGAAUCUUCGGCAAUGGACGGAAGUCUGACCGAGCAACGCCGCGUGAGUGAAGAAGGUUUUCGGAUCGUAAAGCUCUGUUGUAAGAGAAGAACGAGUGUGAGAGUGGAAAGUUCACACUGUGACGGUAUCUUACCAGAAAGGGACGGCUAACUACGUGCCAGCAGCCGCGGUAAUACGUAGGUCCCGAGCGUUGUCCGGAUUUAUUGGGCGUAAAGCGAGCGCAGGCGGUUAGAUAAGUCUGAAGUUAAAGGCUGUGGCUUAACCAUAGUACGCUUUGGAAACUGUUUAACUUGAGUGCAAGAGGGGAGGGUGGAAUUCCAUGUGUAGCGGUGAAAUGCGUAGAUAUAUGGAGGAACACCGGUGGCGAAAGCGGCUCUCUGGCUUGUAACUGACGCUGAGGCUCGAAAGCGUGGGGAGCAAACAGGAUUAGAUACCCUGGUAGUCCACGCCGUAAACGAUGAGUGCUAGGUGUUAGACCCUUUCCGGGGUUUAGUGNCGUAGCUAACGCAUUAANCACUCCGCCUGGGGAGUACGACCGCAAGGUUG
This 550-nucleotide ribosomal RNA is filed under the name uncultured bacterium. Its description in RNAcentral is "bacterial SSU rRNA". It matches the Rfam family "Bacterial small subunit ribosomal RNA", at positions 355 to 896 of the family's 1533-position model. The record is from RNAcentral.